Molecule: long non-coding RNA, 503 nt
Organism: Rosa chinensis
Lineage: Eukaryota; Viridiplantae; Streptophyta; Magnoliopsida; Rosales; Rosaceae
Exons: 3
Source: RefSeq, a predicted model, not a curated record
CUCGUUUCUCAGUCCCUCUUUUCAGUUUCAUAGCUUCCGCAGUUUACACAUUGAAGGGGUAGCUCUGAAACACCAGCUGAAGCCUGGACGUGUGGUUUUUGAAACUACUAUUCUAUUUCAUGUAAAACAAUUGACUCCUCUUAUGUCCACCCAUCGAUCUUCUUCUCUUUUGAGUUGGGAGUUAUGACCACUUCUGUCAUCACCAUGCUUCUAAGUCGAGUGAUGCUUGGUUCAAUGGCGAGUGUUGUGACGGCGUUAGUUGCUCGACCGGCGGCUACAAUCACGACCUUGCUUUACUACAGCGAUGUCCUCCCUCGGAAUUUCGACUCACGGCGAUUGGAGCGACUGGUUCGGCGUGAUUACCUUGUUCGAGACAAUUACUUCUUCUAUUUUCUUGUCAACUUUUUGAGAUGCUUUUGGUAGCAAGGAACUGACUUGUAUGUAAAUUUGGGUCGUUGACCAGAAUUGAUCAUGUAAUUAGGGGUUCGAUCGAUCUGUUUAUA